This is a non-coding RNA of Pseudopodoces humilis (Tibetan ground-tit), 495 nucleotides long. The record is from RefSeq and is a predicted model, not a curated record. NCBI's taxonomy places the organism in Eukaryota, Metazoa, Chordata, Aves, Passeriformes, Paridae.
AGUUUACAGGGGUUAUGUGCUGCCUGGUGAAGUUCAUGUCUGAGCAACCCCUCUUCUGAAGGAAACUCCAAAAAAACAGUUUGUUUCUGGCAGCUGCCCCUUUCUGAAGUUGUGCCUUCUGGGUCAGAGAUGAAAGGAGCUGGUUGUAACCCUGUGCAACUGAAACCCUUUUUCCGAAGGUCUGGACCUGAGUCAACUGAACUUCUCCAGUGUGUGGUGAUCAUUGAAUUGGACUUGGAGACAUGAGAAAAGGUGCUGGAAAACUUGGAGCUGGCUCUGAAUUGCCAUUCAAGCAAUUUGUGUAAAAAAAGGCUGCCAGCUCAAGGAGAUGGUGGAAAAUGAGCCAAAAGCAUCGUGUGAGUCAAGAGGCACUGAAGUGCUGCCAAGCAUCGAUUCCCACCAUGGCAGGAACGACUCCCGGGGUGGUGAAUUCCAAAGAAAUGUCUCUGUGGUGGCUGGCACCGGCUGCAGCAGGAAAGUCACGCCGAGACAGGA